RNAcentral lists this ribosomal RNA (432 nucleotides) under uncultured bacterium. RNAcentral's name for it is "partial 16S ribosomal RNA". It matches the Rfam family "Bacterial small subunit ribosomal RNA", at positions 29 to 506 of the family's 1533-position model. The record is from RNAcentral.
AACGAACGCUGGCGGUAUGCCUAACACAUGCAAGUCGAACGAAGGCUUCGGCAUUAGUGGCGCACGGGUGCGUAACGCGUGGGAAUCUGCCCUUUGGUUCGGGAUUACAGCUGGAAACGGCUGAUAAUACCGGGUGAUGACGACAGUCCAAAGAUUUAUCGCCAGGGGAUGAGCCCGCUUUGGAUUCGGUAGUUGGUGGGGUAAAGGCCUACCAAGCCGACGAUCCAUAGCUGGACUGAGGGGAUGAUCAGCCACACUGGGAAUGAGACACGGCACAGACUCCUGAGGAAGGAAGCAGUGGUGAAGAUUGGACAACGGGCGCAAGCCUGAUCCAGCAAUGUUGCGUGAGUGAUGAAGGCCCUAGGGAUGUAAAGCUCUUUUACCCGCGAAGAUAAGAACUGUACCGGAAGAAGAAGCCCAGGCAAACUCAGU